RNAcentral lists this ribosomal RNA (231 nucleotides) under Clostridioides difficile. RNAcentral describes it as "partial 16S ribosomal RNA". It matches the Rfam family "Bacterial small subunit ribosomal RNA", at positions 1312 to 1533 of the family's 1533-position model. Lineage: Bacteria; Bacillati; Bacillota; Clostridia; Peptostreptococcales; Peptostreptococcaceae. The record is from RNAcentral.
UCGCCUACAUGAAGCUGGAGUUACUAGUAAUCGCAGAUCAGAAUGCUGCGGUGAAUGCGUUCCCGGGUCUUGUACACACCGCCCGUCACACCACGGGAGUUGGAGACGCCCGAAGCCGAUUAUCUAACCUUUUGGAAGAAGUCGUCGAAGGUGGAAUCAAUAACUGGGGUGAAGUCGUAACAAGGUAGCCGUAUCGGAAGGUGCGGCUGGAUCACCUCCUUUCUAAGGAGA